RNAcentral lists this long non-coding RNA (305 nucleotides) under Elaeis guineensis (African oil palm). RNAcentral's name for it is "long non-coding RNA (EGUI_LNC000357)". The record is from RNAcentral. Lineage: Eukaryota; Viridiplantae; Streptophyta; Magnoliopsida; Arecales; Arecaceae.
UUCAUCCUUUUGACCCUAUUACUCGAGGAUGACCUAGAAUUUAACUAUUAAUCCUAAAUAAAUCAUCCAUAUUAUAUUUCAAUCUUUUUCAAAUCCAUCACAUGGAUUAUCCGGACCCAGAUUUUGCUAAAUUAAAAUACACUGAUGCAUAUCUCCUACUAAUUUGGAGGGGUCAAUCUCAUCUUAACUCACACACUAACUUGAUAAGUACUUGACUGUAUUCAGAAACCUUCCAUUACUAAAUUAGAAACUCAGUUAGUCCGACAUCAAAGUAUAGUGAGUUGCUUGCAAGUCACCAUAGUGAU